Fukomys damarensis (Damara mole-rat) is the source of this 562-nucleotide long non-coding RNA. RefSeq lists it as uncharacterized. The record is from RefSeq and is a predicted model, not a curated record. NCBI's taxonomy places the organism in Eukaryota, Metazoa, Chordata, Mammalia, Rodentia, Bathyergidae. The transcript has 5 exons.
GGAGAUGGUAAAAAUGGAUACAGUAUCAUAAAGCCUGUACUUGAUGGUGUACACUCCAGCAUUAUGGAGAGGCUGAGUUUGGAAGAAUGGAACAUGACGUGAUAUACAAAUCUUUCCUUAUGGACUAAGAUUCAUUACUGUAAAUUUGUGGAGAAUUGGAUUAAAUUCAAACUAGAAGUUGAAGCUGCACAUAGGGGAAUAGUACCUAAUUUGUACUGGCCACGACCAUGAUUUAACAUUUUAACAAUCAUAUAAGUAGAAUCAGAUUUCUCAGCAGGGGAGCACAUAUAAGGAAUUGGAGAAGCCUAUUGGAAUUACAGUGAUUCAAUAUAAAUGAAAUCCCAGCUGGCAUCAGUACAAGACUGCUGUGAAGAAUCGCUUUAUUUAAAGCCACUUCUAUCACUUGGUCAAGCGCUGUUAAAAAGGAGGAAAAAGGCUGUGGGAAAAAAGUAUGGUCCCUGGAGGAGCAACAGCAGUGUGAUUGUGGAGAUUGUUAGCCAUGUAGAAAGGCUGCCAAGAUCCCAGCCAGACCACUGUGUCAGAACCUGCUUUGUAACCAGAU